AUUGAACGCUGGCGGCAGGCCUAACACAUGCAAGUCGAGCGGAUGAAGGGAGCUUGCUCCUGGAUUCAGCGUCGGACGGGUGAGUAAUGCCUAGGAAUCUGCCUAGUAUUGGGGUAUAACGUCCGGAAACGGGCGCUAAUACCGCAUACGUCCUGAGGGAGAAAGUGGGGGAUCUUCGGACCUCACGCUAUCAGAUGAGCCUAGGUCGGAUUAGCUAGUUGGUGGGGUAAAGGCCUACCAAGGCGACGAUCCGUAACUGGUCUGAGAGGAUGAUCAGUCACACUGGAACUGAGACACGGUCCAGACUCCUACGGGAGGCAGCAGUGGGGAAUAUUGGACAAUGGGCGAAAGCCUGAUCCAGCCAUGCCGCGUGUGUGAAGAAGGUCUUCGGAUUGUAAAGCACUUUAAGUUGGGAGGAAGGGCAGUAAGUUAAUACCUUGCUGUUUUGACGUUACCAACAGAAUAAGCACCGGCUAACUUCGUG
RNAcentral lists this ribosomal RNA (484 nucleotides) under uncultured bacterium. RNAcentral's name for it is "partial 16S ribosomal RNA". It matches the Rfam family "Bacterial small subunit ribosomal RNA", at positions 30 to 507 of the family's 1533-position model. The record is from RNAcentral.